GACGAACGCUGGCGGCGUGCUUAACACAUGCAAGUCGAACGGGCCUGUCUUCUUUUUUGGGGGUGGGUUGAGUGGCGAACGGGUGAGUAUCACGUGAGUAACCUGCCCUUCGGUCCUGGAUAACCGCUUGAAAGGGCGGCUAAUACGGGGUGGUCCGGUUGGUCCGCAUGGGCUGGUCGGGAUAGAUUCACUGUUUUUGGUGUUUCGGCGGGGGAUGGGCUCGCGGCCUAUCAGCUUGUUGGUGGGGUGAUGGCCUACCAAGGCGGUGACGGGUAGCCGGCCUGGGAGGGUGGGCGGCCACACUGGGACUGAGGUACGGCCCAGACUCCUGCGGGAGGCAGCAGUGGGGGGUAUUGCACAAUGGGCGGAAGCCUGAUGCAGCGACGUCGCGUGAGGGAGGGAGGCCUUCGGGUUGUGAACCUCUGUUUCCGGUGGUGAAGGCCCUGUCCGUGUGGUGGGGUUGACGGUAGCCGGGGAUGAAGCGCCGGCUAACUACGUG
This 499-nucleotide ribosomal RNA is filed under the name uncultured bacterium. RNAcentral's name for it is "partial 16S ribosomal RNA". It matches the Rfam family "Bacterial small subunit ribosomal RNA", at positions 28 to 507 of the family's 1533-position model. The record is from RNAcentral.